Long non-coding RNA from Cotesia glomerata, 1167 nucleotides. RefSeq lists it as uncharacterized. NCBI's taxonomy places the organism in Eukaryota, Metazoa, Arthropoda, Insecta, Hymenoptera, Braconidae. The transcript is spliced from 3 exons. The record is from RefSeq and is a predicted model, not a curated record.
AUUCUCUAGCUCGAUUAAUGUGUUAUGUAUGUGAUGUGCUGAUGAAUAGAAUAUAUAUGGAUCUAUGGACAUAGUACAUAACAGUAGUUUCUCUCGUUAACAUGUGAGUUGUCAGAGUGUCGCUUGGGGCGGUUUUGCGAAAAAAAAAUAGGAAAAAAAAAAAAAUUACAAAAUACGUGGGCGAGGGUGGAAUAAAACGGCGGGGAUAAAGCGUGGGUUGGAAUGGGUGGUAGUGGGGUUGAAACGGAAGUGACGUGUUGGAGGUGGAGCAGAACACGGUGGAGAGGGAUGUUCAACCGGGAUAUGGUUAAAGUCCUAGUCUACUGCAGAACGCUGUUUAAGUGAGACGUGUAGUUGGUUUAGUUGUUAGUUUUAUUAUUGACGACCGCGCUUGUUCAUUUAUUUAUUUAUUUAUUUAUUUAUUUAUUUAUUUAUUCAUCCUCUUCCACUUCCACUUCCACCAGACAUCUGCAGCCUCUGCCAAGCUUCCGAUCCUGGCUAACAUUAUUUAUUUAACUUUUUAAUUAUUUACUAACUGGCGAGACAUCUGCUAGCUAAUGGACAAAUUUUAAUUCAAGAUUAUUAAAACAAAUUAAAGUAGUAAAAAAAUGAUUAAAAACUGGAUUAAUUAUAAAAAAUUUAAAAAAGGACCUUUUGGUAAAAAUGAAUUAGAUUGGGAACCCACUAGAGCAAACACUAGUGACGUAGAUACAAAUUUAAAUUGAAUUGUUAUGUGAACCAUGAAGCACGUACCGAGACCCGAUACACCUACGUAGAUGUCUAACACGAGUGCCGAGAGAGUAUCAAUGGUCGCAAGAUUGCCGAGCACUGCGCAGCAUUCGAGCCACAGAAAUGUCGGAGAACCACACGGCACACAUCCACUAUCAACUCUAUCCACUAUCCACGUGCCUUUUAUACCGCACUGAUAUCCAAUACCAUUUCCCAAUACUAUUUAUCCCAAAUACGAAUGCCUCCAGACCAUCUAAUCCAUUUACUAUUGCAAAUUACAUUCCAUUAAAAGUAAAAACAAUAAGAAAUAGUACUCAGCCGACACUCGAUCUCUCGAUAAAUAGCCGCCUUAAAGAAAGAUUACUUCUUACGACUAUAACUUUUCUCAAUUACAGUAUCGACAAAAUUUAAAUCAGUUAAAUCAGUGUCAACAACAAA